This 166-nucleotide ribosomal RNA is filed under the name uncultured Lactobacillus sp. Its description in RNAcentral is "partial 16S ribosomal RNA". The record is from RNAcentral. Lineage: Bacteria; Bacillati; Bacillota; Bacilli; Lactobacillales; Lactobacillaceae.
UUCCCAUGGACGAAAGUCUGAUGGAGCAACGCCGCGUGAGUGAAGAAGGUUUUCGGAUCGCAAAACUCUGAUUGUUGUUACAAGAACGAAUACCUUCAUCAACUGAAUCAGGCGAGUGACCGUCUCACUUUCGACCGUUGCUGGAUAAUUCCCUACUGCCUCCCGU